Molecule: long non-coding RNA, 12274 nt
Filed under: Malus domestica (apple)
Lineage: Eukaryota; Viridiplantae; Streptophyta; Magnoliopsida; Rosales; Rosaceae
Description: long non-coding RNA (MDOM_LNC003514)
Source: RNAcentral
GAGCGCAGCACGUGUCGACAUCAAGAACCAAUCAUAACAUGACACAUGUCAAUGUGACAAAGCUACAAGUUUUUCUAUAAAUAGGGGCCAUUCCCCCACAAUAUUGGCUAAUGCCAUUUGUGUUAAAUCAUUCACAAGAACUCACUAAAUUGAGAGCUUGAUCCUUUGUACUUGUGUAAGCCCUUCACUACUAAUAAGAACUCCUCUACUCCGUGGACGUAGCCAAUCUGGGUGAACCACGUACAUCCUGUGUUUGCUUCUCUGUCUCUAUUCAUUUACGUACUUAUCCUCACUAGUGACCGAAGCAACCAAGCGAAGGUCACAAAACCUGACACUUUCUGUUGUACCAAAGUCUUCGCUGAUUUUGUGCAUCAACAGGAUUUUUUCUCAAACAAAAAAUCUUGAUGCAAUUAGAAAUGGGAACAAUUUGAUAUAAGUUGUAAUUUGUUUUGUGAGAUGAUUGAUGUAAAAUUUUUUACUUUAUUCAACACCAAACACUUAUCUUUAUUUCUCACAAUCUUAUUAAAUAAGUCAAAUAAAAAACAACAAUCAAAAGAAAAUAACGUUUAAACAAGAAUGUGUAAGAAUAGAAAAAAAGAUGUUUGGUUAUGAUUUUCCUUUCAAAAGUGAACAGUCCACCCACCAAGUUUAAUUAUUUCCCACUAUUCGUUGCUCACUCACGUUCACUUGAAUUAUGUGUAAGAAUAGAAAAAAGAUGUUUGGUUAUGAUUUUCCUUUCAAGACUGAAAGCAGUCCACCCACCAAGUUUAAUUAUUUUUCACCACCCACCAAGUUUAAUUAUUUUUCAUGGAGUAGGAUUUUCUCCCUUUAUUUUUUAAUCCUCUUUCAUUCCUUUCUCUUACCUUCUUCAUUUUAUCUUUAUAUUUUUAUAAAAAAAUUAAUAUAAGAUAUUAACAUGAUUUAAGUUUGAAUUAAUCCUACUCCAUUUACCACUAUCCGCCGCUCACUCACUUUCACUUGAAUUAUUUUGUUUAUGUGGUGUAGAAAGAAUGAAAAGAGAAAAAUACCCCCAAAAGAACCAAACUUUCAGAACUGUCUGUAUCCCAAAUGAGUCUUUGGUAUUGCUCUGCCAUUGCCAUUGGCAUUCCCUUCCACCAUUGACAUUGACGACAAACCCUUCAACUCCUCCAUACUCGCGUAGCUCUUCCUCGCCGUGAUCCCUCCGCUAUUGUUGUACCUCUCCUCCCCCGCGCUCACCGACUUACUCCCUAUCGAAUUCGACAAUAUCCCGUACGCUGCUUUCGCCAGACUCUUUGUCGGCAUGGUCAUCUCCUGCAUCAACGGAAACCUUGACGGCGGCUUGCGGUUCUCUUUUCGUAACACGGCUGAGAAAUUGGGCACCGAUUGAGCGAGAACGGAAUACCCUUUUCGCGAAUUGGUCAGAUGGGUCUUAAAUUUGACUUGUUUCUUCAAUGGGGUCAAUUUCGAUUCGGAUUCUUCGAGCUCCUCUAGGAUCAUGUACUUCCUCCUUAGCCGCGAUUCUCUGAGUUCCGCGUAGGCUUUGUAUCUAGGUCCUUUCUCCAUGGCGGCUCUCGGUGGUGAACCUCAAUGAACUGGAUGUUGAUAUGGGCUAGGGUUCUGGGAGGGACGUAGAACCCAGAUGGGUUGUAGGGAGUGGGUCCCAUAUUUAAUUUUUUAAUAUUUAAGGAGGUGUAUUCAAUUGGGAUUUUUAGAGAUUUUAAUUCUUUUAAUAAAUCUAGAGGUGUUCAAUCAAGAUUUUAAGUGAUUCUCUGAAAUUCAAGGUGUAUUCAAUUAGAAUUUUAAGAUAGUUUAUUAAAAUCCUUAGAAAUCCGGGUGCAUUCAAUUAGGGUUUUAAAGAAAUUUAUAACAUUCCAGUUGUAUUCAAUUAAAAAUUGAUUUUAAAGAAUUUGGGAAAGUUGGGGAAUUAGAAGGAAUUGAAGAGAUUUUGUAGUGUAUUUUAAGCAUCUACAAAUCUCACAUUUUUCCCUUAAGAUUUCGAGGAAAUUGAAUCAAAAUUUUAUAUGAAAUCUCCACAAAUCAAUUAAACUCCAUAAAAAUCCAUAAAUUUAUAAAUCCAUUAAAAUCUCUCAUAUUCUCAAUUGAAUACACCCCCUUAAUUAAUUUUUGAGUAAAGUACAAAAAACUACCUCAACUAUUGGUGUCAUGACACUUUCAUACCUCAACUUUUAAAAUUGACAAUGGCAUACCUCAUCUUACGAAUUUGUGCCAAUGUUAUACCUUUCGUUACCUUGGCGUGAAUUUCUCAGUUAACUGCUGACGUGGCUUGAUCCUUGACCCAUUUUCUAUUAAAAAAUUAUUAAAAACAAAAAAAAAUUAUUUAAUAUUUUUUAAAAUAUUAAAAUAAUAAAAAAGUUAUAAAUAAAUAAAAAUAAAAAAACAACUUUCAGUCCCCUUUCCGAUGUCCCUCCCCCCCCCCCCAACUUCUCUCUCUUCUCCCCAUCUUCAUCUUCUUCACCAUUCCUGCAAACCAAAAAAAAAAAAAAGAGAAAAAAAAAACUAAUUUGUCUUCCCCCCUCCCUACCCCCUUUUCUCCCCACACCCACUCUCCGCACCCAACCUCCCCACCUGGGGGAUGGACGAACUGGGUUUAUUUUAUUUUAUUUUUAUUUAUUUUUUCUUUUCUCCUUCUUCCUCUUCUCAUUCUCUUCUUCUUCUUCGGGUUGGGUUUGUGGUGAGCAGGGGUGAACUGGGUUGGGUUGAUUUUUUUUUUUUCCUUCUUCUUCUUCUUCGUCCUUCUUCUUCGUCCGUCUUCUUUCUGGGUUGCAGGGACGAAUAGUUUUUUUAUUUUUUUUUAUCCUUCUUCUUCUUUCUGGGUUGCAGGAAGAUGGGAGGGGGAGGGACGAACAUAGGGUUUUUUUUUCCUCUUCUUCCUCCUCCUUCUUUCUGGAUUGCAGGAAGAUGGGGAGAGGAGGGACCAACAAAGGUUUUUUUCUUUUUCUUUUUCUUCUUCUUCUUCCUCAUUCUUCUUCUUUUUGGGUUGCAGGAAGAUGUGGAGGGGGAGGGACGAGAGGUUUUUUUUAAAAUUUUUUUUAUAUAUACUUAUCUUUAUUAUUUUAAUAUUUAAAUAAUAUUAAAUAAUUUUUUUUUAGUUUUUAAUCGUUUUUAAUCAUUUUUAAUGAUUUUUUAAUAGAAAGUGGGUUCUGAAUUAAGCCACAUCAGCAUUUAACUGAAAAGUUAACGGCCAAGUAACGGAAGGUAUAACAUUGGACCAAAUUCUAAAAAUGAGGUAUGACAUUGUCAAUUUUAAAAGAUAAGGUAUGAAAGUGUCAUGACACCAAUAAUUAAGAUAGUUUUUUGUACUUUACCCUUAAUUUUUUUAAUCUAGUUGGGAUAAAGAGUGGGCCCUCUUUAAAGAAAUUGAUAGAAAAAUUAACAGAAGUCUAACAUUGUAACAAAUUCAUAAAAUAAGAUACAAUAUUGUAAAUUUUAAAAUAUAAGAUAUAAGAUUGUGGUUCGAUCUAUAAUUAAAGUAAUUUUAUGUAAUUUAUCCUAAAAAAUCCAAGAAAACCCAACCGGCAAGAAACAUAAAGCGACGGAAGAAUACGACCGAGUCAUCGCCACAGCCCACAGGAGCUAAUAAUCAAGAGGAAAUAGACAAAAAGAGAGGGGCAAUGGUUGGACAGGGGAGCCAUACCUGGACUUUUCUAUUGACUGGGGCAUGGAUUCACAUGUUACACAUUUUAAGAGGGAUUAGAAGGACUCAGAUCAUCUCCAAACGAAAUAUCAAAUUUUAAAUAUAAAAUUUAAAUUUGACGGUUUAUGUGUCAUUUUGAUAUUUUUCAAAAUUUUGCUCUUCAUCCGAUAUGUCAAAUUAAAUAUUAUUUUAUUACACUUUUUUUUAGCUUUUUUUUUAUUAAACUAUUAUUUUAUUACCCAUUUCGACAUCUUUCAAAACCCGAAUUUCUUCAUUUCACACCUUCAGCCAUGGAAGCUCUGCAAGCUUCCCUCCCGCAAGUCCCUCACACCCAGUUCGAACUACCUUCAGCCAUGGAAGCUCUGCAAGCUUCCCUCCUGCAAGCUUUCUGCUUUUCUUCUCUCUGUUCUCUCUCUGGUUUUCCAAAAUUCAAGCUUCGGUCUUUCUGGCUUCUUCGUUUGCUUUCAGUUUCAGCGUUUCCAAUAAAAAAAUUAAUAAAAAAAAUAUUUGAAGCUGCUAUCAAAUUUGACAGCAACCUCUUUGUUGCCAAUCCAUGUCAGCGCCACAUAGAAAUUGACAUUUCUGUUGGAGAAUACUAGUGUAGCCAUUUAUUACUGUUAUAACUUAUGUGGACAUUUUGACAUCUCCUUUAGAGAUACUCUCAUGUUGACAGAAAUUGAUGUCGGACUGUCGUUUAAGAGUUAAAGGAAUAUUACUAGACCUAAUUGGCGUUAAAAUUCUUAUUAAAAGCCGAAGUUUUCCUUAAAAUGUACUUGAAAGUGCUUUAUUAAGAAGCUUCUCCAAAAAGCACUUAUAUGAAUAAAAAACUUUUCUAACUUUUUCUACUGGGCUGGUUUGGUAUUGUUGUGUUUUGAAAAAAAAACUGCUUCUGCUGUUUUGUGAGAAUAAGCAGCUGUGAAAUAAAGCUGUAGAGUGUUUGAUAAACUUUUUUGUAAAAAUGCUUUUGAAAAAAAAAAAACAGUAUUGUAGUGUUUGGUAAACUUUUAUGUAAAACAGUUGUGAUUGUGUAAAAUGAUUAAAACUGGUAUAAUACUAGAUGUGCCAUUAAUUUAAUUUUCUUAACAAAUAAAGGUGAAUUACUAAAUAUGCUUUAUUUUUAAAAGAAAAAUAUUUAUAAACUUUAUCUUAAACAUAUAAUCCAACGUUUAACAAGAAAUCAUAAUCCAAUGUUCAACAUAUAAUCCAACAUUUAUGCUGUUUCACGUUUUCAACUUUUUUUUUUCACCCAAAACUAUGAAAAUAAGCUAUUUUUAAGUGUUUAUCAAACACCUUUUUAAGUUCAGUUUUUUUUAUACCCACUUUUUAUAAAAACACCUCAGUACCAAACCAGUACGUAGUUAGAAGUGUUUUGGCUUUUAGAAGAGUACCUGCUUAGAGCAACUCCAGCGUGCUCUUUAGCCCGAUUGACCGGUGAUUCCAAUCACCCAAUUGCCCCAGCAACUAGCUCCAGCGCAUGCGGGCAAUGAAGCUCAGGGGAGGCCCGGUGGACAGGCCAAGCAGGAAUCCAUCGCCCGAGAGCCUGAUGGCUGUGUGAUGUGUGGCUAACCUCAAGGUGACCCGGCUCGAAUUGGUCUAUUUUCCUUUGUUGGAAUCUGGAAAAAGAAUGGGAUGCAUCCAGGGAAUUAAGCCAUCGAAUUAAACCACAAGAAUUGCAGCACAACAUGAUUUAAAGCUCAAGAACACAAGAUAGUGAUAGAAACAUCACCUGGGUUCGAGAUUGAGAGCUCAAGCUCUCGGCUUCAAUGGUAGGACCUCGCACCAUGCACCGAUGCCGCAUGCAAGGCCAUGGUUGGGUUCCUUGCGUUCCAGGGAUUCUAAAAAUAUUGUUUUUGAGCUUGAUUUGUUAAAGGUUUGAAGAGGAAGGAGGAAGAGAGCUCACGAUAGUGAGCUAGAAAAGAGGGAGAGAGAAAGAAAAAGGAAGAGAGAGAAAGAAAAGAGAGAGAGAGAGGGAGAGAGAGGAAGAACCGGUCAAAUGAGGGGAAAAUGAGAAAGGGUGAUGGGGUGUAUGGAUUGGGUGUGGAAAAAAUAUUAAUAUUUUAUUGCCUAUUGUCAUAGCUGUUCAAUUUAGGGGUGGAUAUGCAAAAUACGGUUAAUGUUCAUUAAAGGUAGUUAUUGUUCACCGGGUGGAUUCAAUAGUGAGUUGUCCUAGGGGACCUUUGCAACGCUGGAGUUGCUCUUAAGGAAUAGCAUUAUGAAAACUCAAGGCCUCGGAUUUAUCAUUUGGCUAGCUAGCAGAACAGGAUCAAAAGGACCCAAAGAAGACCAACGGAGGCACAGGAAAGGGCACUUGAGAAUCAUGCCCAACCUACGCACUCCUGACCCAACCAUAUACAUGAUGUCAAAGGAACACACUGUAUCGAGUCACUUGAAUAUUUUAAAAACCAGGUAGAAGACAGUACCUGGAAGAGGAACUUUGAGGCUCAAAUCCACACACACACACAACUCUCAUUUCAUGAGCUACAGAAAAAAAGUCCCGUCGUUUCAGCUGCUAAGUCCAUACCCAAAUAUGUGCUCAUUUGCAAGAUCACCGUUCUCAGCACAUCAAGCUCAACAUGUUUGGGAAUGUGAGGUCAUGAUCGAUCGAAACUCGCUUCCCGUAACUUAACUGGAUCAUUUGCCAAUUCCCUGAAUCAAAGACAUAACUAAACUCAUCAAUCUGCAAAUAAAAUUUAUCUACAUGAGAACUUCGAUUAUCGAUUAAGUACAACAAAGGAACGUGUGCCUAUACCUCCGAAAAACCAGAAAUGUUCUCUUGCAUUCAAGAAUCCUAGCAGAUACCAAAUAUAAAUUUGAGAAACAACAAUAAAAAUGUUAACUACUGACUAAAGCUAUAGCUAGUAUAGGUUCUUGUUCAUCUUAGUGUAUAUUAGGUAAAUAUUUGACUAUAAAAACAUGUAUUUACCACAACAAAAAUAGACAGCUUUGUAUAUUUGAAUUCACCAUUUGUCAACCCGUCAUUUCACGAUAAGGGUUUCUAAUCACCCAUCCUUUUGCAACAUUUGUUUAUGAAGGGGCUUGCCUUAUAAUUUCAUAGAAAUCCAAUAUGUACGAAAAAAAAAAUAUGUACAUUGAACAAAGACGGAUUAAUGUAAAGGAUGAUUUACAACUCAUUGUGAAAAAUAGUAGUUCUAAUCUAUACAUUAACUAAGCAUCCUUAUCAGUAACAAAAAUGACUUAGAAGUUUGAAAUUGGACAUAGCUUGAAAGACAAAAUGCUUAACUAGCCUUAAAAAGCUCUAACCCAUGAUGACAUCUCCGAGCGAGACAAAGCUUGGAAUAUGGACACAUGCAUGAUUGAGGUCAAUGGAAGCUUGAAUGGCAUUCCAUCAACCUUGACACAUAGAGAGCCAAAUUUUCAAGGAAUAUAAUUCUGUCAGUUAAAAUCACAUAAGAAGAAGAUUUUUCCUUCCACUGUAAAUUUCACCACUCGAUGAAUAUGAUAAUCAAACAGUCGAUAAUUUCAAGCUCUUUGGUCCAAGACUCCUUAACACCAUAUUCCUUCAUCACCCUAACAUCUACAAUUUAUAAUGUGUAGGAACAAUUAGAGAGAGAACCUCUCAAGACUCCAAUUCCCAGAGCCAAUAGUCAAAACCAUUACCUCCGCUCACCAAAUUCUCCAUCAAAUGCUUUGUUUGGAUUGCUAAACCGAACAACUUUAAAGACACCACUGAUGGGACUAAACCCAACCCACAAACAGAAGGACCAAUUUCUUCAUUUUAAGUAGGUGUUGGAACUUGGAAGAGUUGAAUAUCAGAGUGCGCAACGAACAAGACUAACAAGAAUAAAAAUAUUAUUAAACAAACGAGAAUGCCAAAACGGCUACAAAACCCUAAGAUGCUACAUUGUGACUAACUUGAUUAUUCUAUAGAGUUACAAAGUACCAUAUAUAUAGAAAACUAAUCUAACCCUAAUAGGCAAGGAAACGAAACCCUAAUACUAACGGGCUAAGCCCAAAAUACCAAACAUUAAAAUAAAUCUAAAUAAUAAUAUUUUCCAACACCCCCGUCAAACUCAUGGCGGUACACGACAUGGGUUUGCCAAAGUAGAUGUGGAUGCAAGACUCCAAAUUCCAAUGCCAAUGCCAAUGCCGAUGCCGAUGCCAAUACCGAUGCCGAUGCCAAUACCAAUGCCAAUCCGAAUACCAAUAUCAAUACCAAUAUCCAUGCCAAUACCAAUACCAAUACCAAUACCAAUAUCAAUACUUCUUUCUUGCCCGUGUGGGCACAAAGUCAAAACCUCAAAAAACAAAGCAUUUUCUUCUAUUUCCCUUUUGUCUUUUUCCUCCUCCUUUUCCUGUUUCGUUUUUCCUUUUUUUUUUUUUUUUUUUUUUUUUUUACAGUCUUCUCCGCAAAGAACCUGCAAAACACAAGAGUGCAACGAUGCAGAGUGCAGGAACAUGAAGGGUGCAGAUGCUCCAGAUGCAGUUUAGACUACCAACAACUAAUAUUGAAAUCCAAAAACAAACAAACUGAUACGAGCAAACAGAAGCAGAUUAAAUCCCGAAGGAUCAAACCUGCUCUAAUACCAAGUUGAAUAUCAGAGUGCGCAACGAACAAGACUAACAAGAAUAAGAAUAUUAUUAAACAAACGAGAAUGCCGAAACGGCUACAAAACCCUAAGAUGCUACAUUGUGACUAACUUGAUUAUUCUAUAGAGUUACAAAGUAUCAUAUAUAUAGAAAACUAACCUAACCCUAAUAGGCAAGGAAACGAAACCCUAAUACUAACGGGCUAAGCCCAAAAUACCAAACAUUAAAAUAAAUCUAAAUAAUAAUAUUUUCCAACAGGAAGUGCCAAAGAUUCACCAGUAAAUGGGAUUAGAUAAACAAAAAAUGGCCGAAGUUAGGUCUACCAUCGUAUAGGCACAAGAAGCCAUUGCAAGAACCCACAAUUUCGACUGCGAACCCGUACUCAAUACUGGAGUCUCUAGAAAGCCUCACGACAUCGCUGUGUUGGGUUAGAGUGCUCGUCGAGGCCAACCACGAAGUGACCUAUCGACUUGGCACAAGGGGCGUUGAAGCAAUGGAGCAAAAUGCAAGCCGGUGCUUGUGAAAAUAGGGACAUGGUGAAGUGGCGGUCUGAGAGCCAGUGGACACUCGUCUGCAUUGGGUGAGCGUCUUGGUUGAGAUCUCUAUUAUUGUGUGGCUGGAAAUUGCGGAAUGUACAAUGUGGGGUUUCUUCUCAUGUUUCUUUAUCUUCUUCUUUUGAAGGUUUGUUAGGGAAAUUUGCAAAAUUAACCAAAUUUUAGACCCUAUAUAUUGAAUUAUUGCCACCGUUUUAAGUUAAGGAUCAUUAUAACCAAAAUUUUACAUGAAAUUACUAACAUACGCUUAAAAUGAGUUUUCCCAUAUAACCAAAAUGAAAAAAAUUUAAAAUUCAAGCUCAAGAAAUGUUCAUUCAGAUUGAAUAUGCCAUGUUGGUCGAAUCUAGCCAGAAAACUGUCGUUCUCCGGUCACAUAGCAGGGAAUUCGAAACCCAUAUAGUCAAUCCUUGCCAAAGUUGUUUAUUUGAGAAAAAAAAGAAGAGGAAUUUAGCUCCAAAAGCAAAGCAAAUCAACGAGCUUUAUAGGAUCACACAAGCAAUCAUGGAUAGCAUCGUUGACACUAUCAACUCCGCAACCAUCGUCAUCUCAACCGAAGCUAGUGCCCAGCCCACCACCGUCUUUGUAACUCUCUCUCUCUCUCUCUCUCUCUCUAGUGCAUACAAAUCUUUAUGCAUGUGUGCUUUUUUUUUUCUCUUCUCAUUUGCACCAGAAAAGUAGAAUUGCUGCAUUUGUAGAAGCUUGAGAAAGGCUUAUCAUCCCUUGACGCAGUGCAUUAGGGACUGAAAUGUGAACAAACAAGUAAAAGCAGGAAAACUAUCAAAUAAAAAAUCCACAUAACACAAAUUGAGAGAAGAGAUAUCAACUAAUAUGACUUUAGGGUCCUUGUUAUACUCUGUUUGGUUGCUGAGAAACUCUGGGAAUCUAAAACACACAUAUAUGGACAGUUGGAUUUUGCGUUCUUACUCGUAUUUUCAAUCCUAAGAAUGAAAACUAUCAACGUUUGAGUGUUUUUGUAGGAUUUUUUUUUUGGUUGUGAUAAGAAAACUCAUUUUAAGAGUAUACAAAUACUUUCAUAUCAACUUUUAAUUAUAAUUAUCAUAAACUUAAAAGGGUGACUAUAAUUCUAUAUAGAGUCUCAACUGUUGCUUAUGGUUUCAAUUGUUGUCGUGUAGAUAGGGGGGAGAGUUCAAUUUCCUAUUUUUUGAAUUUUCACAGAUACCGUUUUCAUUAACUCACGAGUCUUUUUUAACCCAGUUUCACACUAAACCCUUUCUGAUGAAUUCAUUUUCAACCGUUCAAAUUUAAUCCUAUGGUCUACAUCCCAUCUGCACACACUGUCCGCAAAGCUCCGUUUGCACCUUAGAAAUCGCCCUCUUUAUAAACUGGCCUGGCCUACACGGCACAACCCAAUUCCAGGCCAAAAUUGCAUAAACCCAACUCCUUUUAAUUGUUUUCAGAAGAGUGGUAGUUUUGUAAUUAAAUGGAAAUAAAUGGAAACGUAGCCAAUUUGACAGUGCUUAUGAACAAUGCCAAACUCCCCUCAAUUUUAAACUAUAGUAAUAAUUCCUAGUAUUGGUGAAUCAUAUGAUGGUGGUCAGGAGAAGACUGAAAGUCUUCUCGGCCCUUGGAAGAGAGGAUUGUCGUGGUGAAACCACCAGUUAGUCCAUUUUUUAAAUAAAAUAAAAUAAAAUUUUGGAAUCAAACUUCAUUCAUUUUCCAAGUAGUCCUAAACUACUGAAAAAUUGGCAAAUGUACCAUUUUCCGUUGAGAUGUAGAUUUUACCCCUUUUAGAUCUACUCCAACCCUUAGAGUAAAAUUCAAAUUUUAGGUUCUAAACCUACCCCAAUUUGCUCCAACCCAUAGGGUAAAUAUGAGUUGUAACCCAUAACUCAUUUCUGGGGCAAAUUUAGGCCAGGAUUCCCUUUGGGUUAGUAGGGUUGACCCACCAAAUAUAUGUAUUUUUUUUUAGUUUUAUUUAUAAAUUCAUUAAAUCUAACCGUUAAGAUCUAAUAUGAUCAAAUCUAAUUGUAAAAAAAAAAAAAAAGAUUUAACUCUCCAAAUUUAGACCCAACGGCUAAAAUAAUUAAAAACAAUUGUUUUUUCAUAUUCUUUCAUAGUGUCUGAUGAGUUUCAUGGUGUCAGUUUAGUAAUUUUUCAAUAUUUGUCGGAAUCUAAAUAUUUUUAGGUUAAAAUGUUCAUAAAAUUAAAUUAGGAUAGUCUACAAAUAUAUAUAUAUAUAUAUAUAUAUUUAAAGUUACUUUAAGAAUCCUAAAUUCAUUUUUUAAUAAUCUCGGACUAAAAAUUUAACCCAUAAGAGUUAGAGCAGAAAACAUAUUUCUAGGUUAAACCCUAAAUUUUUUGGGUUAAAAAUUUAAACACGUCGGUUCUUGCACUAAUGCUAGCUAGAAACAGCGCAUUAGCUACGUAGUCCUUGGACAACAUCUUAUUUCAUAGAAAUAUUUCAUAUUCAUGACAAUACCUAUGUGUUAAAAUUAAUAGGGUUUAUUUGUCCUAUUGUAUAAAGGGAAUUUUGUCCUUUCAAGUACCUAUAUUUUUAGGCUAAUAUGUAAAGAGGCUGUUGACUUAUUUGAUGCAUGGUUAAUUUAUUUGAUACAUUUAAAAAAUAAAAUAAUUUUUUAUUCAAAUGAUUUUUUGUCAAGAUAAUAUUUAAAGAAAGAUUAAGAAAUUGAACGGUUCUAAUUAUAAAUUUUCUAUGGUAAAAAUACGUAUUUGCAAGUAGUCAUGAAUAGCUCAUCCCCGAAGAGGGGAAUGCAAGAGUAUUAUUCUUUAUUUAUUUCAUUGAAAUUAUUACAAAUUCAUGACAAUACUAAGCGUCAAAAUUCAUAAAGUUUAUUUCUCCUUUAGUAUGAUAUAAAGGGAUAUUACAUAAUAUCCUUUCUAGUUCUAUUUUUAGGGUGAUGGACAGAAUGUAAUAACGUAGUUUGGUCCACCGCUGCAUGUAAAGGUGCUGUUGACAUCAUCAUAAGCGUAGCUAUAAGCCUGAGGGCACUGGUCCUCAAAGAUCUUAGAGUAGUCUGUGGGUGGACAUGUAGCUGGUGUGUCAUUAGGAGGAGUGCAGCAGUAUUGUGGUUGAUUAAAUUGUGUACACGCACUCUUGCAUGCAAUUACGCUCCCAUCGGACCCCUUCACUUGCAGCUCAGCUGGGCAAACAGCGUUGACGUUGGCGGGGCAAGAAGAGGUCUGGCAGUCGCCCGUGCCGCCUUGUGGGGCAACAGACACGGGCAAGUUGAAGCCAUCAACAAGACUUACGUCGUAGAAAUCUUGGCCUCCGUUUGCGACAAUAUUUAUUUCGACUAGGCUUGCUGGUGGAACUGCUCCGUUACCGUUGCAUGUGACUUGGCCAGAGCUACACUCUGCUGUGGCACAACUGAACUUUCCUGAGGCGUCAGUGGAGCAUCCGGUUCGGCCCCAGAAGCGGCCUUUCCAUGGGACUGGAGUGGUCAAGGAACUGCUAGCGCCGGAUGCUAACUCGAACCCUGUGGAGGAUAGUUGUGGUUGUUGAUCGGAGGUUAGGGACCCUGGCCAUACGGUAUAGGGGCAACUGUUGGUGAAG